CAAUGGCCGACCUGUCGCUCUGGGUCGCCCCUCGAGGUGGGCUUGUGCGGGAAACACUCUUUGAUCUCUGGGCUCUCCGGGUGCACUUUGUUGUGCCAUAUAACUCAGAUCACUUGAAAAAAAAAAAAGAUUUGGCCCGUGUCUUUCAGUGGGACCAGGAGUUACUCAGAGUGCGCUGGAACCACGCCUUCCUGACAGUGCCUCUCUUCCUGUGUCGGCGCCCUCUUGACUGAAAUAAAUCCCGCAAACCCCACGAGCACGCGUUUCCUCUCUCUGGGCUGGCUCCUGACAACACAACCUAAAGGCAGAGCUGUGCCCACGUCAUGCAUCCUUCGUUACUCUGUGACAACCCAAGACUCCAGUGCUUUUCUCUGCCUCGCUCUCCCUUACCUGCAGCCCCUCCAAGGAGCCUGAAGAGGCAGCAGCAG
Molecule: long non-coding RNA, 428 nt
Filed under: Heterocephalus glaber (naked mole-rat)
Lineage: Eukaryota; Metazoa; Chordata; Mammalia; Rodentia; Bathyergidae
Description: lncRNA (ENSHGLG00000046652.1)
Source: RNAcentral